Molecule: ribosomal RNA, 731 nt
Filed under: Rhopalosiphum padi (bird cherry-oat aphid)
Lineage: Eukaryota; Metazoa; Arthropoda; Insecta; Hemiptera; Aphididae
Description: SSU rRNA
Rfam family: Eukaryotic small subunit ribosomal RNA
Source: RNAcentral
CUGGUUGAUCCUGCCAGUAGUCAUAUGCUUGUCUCAAAGAUUAAGCCAUGCAUGUCUCAGUGCAAGCCGCAUUAAGGUGAAACCGCGAAAGGCUCAUUAAAUCAGUUGUGGUUCCUUAGAUCGUACCCAAGUUACUUGGAUAACUGUGGUAAUUCUAGAGCUAAUACAUGCCGACAGAGUUCCGACCGUCGCGGCGCCCUCGGGUGUCGCGUGCGGGAGGAACGCUUUUAUUAGAUCAAAACCGGCCCGUCGCGGCGCGCUUCGUGCGCGUCCCGAUCGCGGCCCGCGCAAAGACCUGGUGACUCUGAAUAACUUCGAGCUGAUCGCACGGUCUCCGUACCGGCGACGCAUCUUUCAAAUGUCUGCCUUAUCAACUGUCGACGGUAGGUUCCAUGCCUACCGUGGUGGUAACGGGUAACGGGGAAUCAGGGUUCGAUUCCGGAGAGGGAGCCUGAGAAACGGCUACCACAUCCAAGGAAGGCAGCAGGCGCGCAAAUUACCCACUCCCGGAACGGGGAGGUAGUGACGAAAAAUAACGAUACGGGACUCAUCCGAGGCCCCGUAAUCGGAAUGAGAACACUUUAAAACCUUUAAACGAGGAUCAAUUGGAGGGCAAGUCUGGUGCCAGCAGCCGCGGUAAUUCCAGCUCCAAUAGCGUAUAUUAAAGUUGUUGCGGUUAAAAAGCUCGUAGUCGGAUCUGUGUCUGGGCGGUGCCGGACCACCCUGGCGGU